This 336-nucleotide ribosomal RNA is filed under the name uncultured vent bacterium. RNAcentral describes it as "partial 16S ribosomal RNA". It matches the Rfam family "Bacterial small subunit ribosomal RNA", at positions 1066 to 1403 of the family's 1533-position model. The record is from RNAcentral.
CAAGGGAUAAUGCCUUAGUCCUGCUACGUAUCCGACCCUAAAAAUUAGUUGCUAACUCCCUCGGGGGUGGACUCUAAGGAGACUGCCUUCGAGAGGCUUAGGGAGAUGAGGACCACGUCCAGGUAUCAUGGCCCUUUUGGCUCGGGCUACACACGUGCUACAAUGCGGCGUACAAAGGGUUGCGAUACCUUGAGGUGGACCUAAUCUCUUAAAGCGUUUCUCAGGUCGGAUUGUUAUCUGCCCCUCCCGACCUGAAGCUGGAAACACUAGGAAUCGCGGAUCAGCAAUGCUCUUGUGAAAACGUUCCCGGGACUUGUACACACCCCCCCUAAAAAA